AGAACGAACGCUGGCGGCAUGCCUAAUACAUGCAAGUCGAACGAACUCUUCGGAGUUAGUGGCGCACGGGUGCGUAACGCGUGGGAAUCUGCCCCUUGGUUCGGAAUAACAGUUGGAAACGACUGCUAAUACCGGAUGAUGACGAAAGUCCAAAGAUUUAUCGCCAAGGGAUGAGCCCGCGUAGGAUUAGCUAGUUGGUGAGGUAAAGGUUCACCAAGGCAACGAUCCUUAGCUGGUCUGAGAGGAUGAUCAGCCACACUGGGACUGAGACACGGCCCAGACUCCUACGGGAGGCAGCAGUAGGGAAUAUUGGACAAUGGG
Molecule: ribosomal RNA, 321 nt
Filed under: uncultured soil bacterium
Lineage: Bacteria
Description: bacterial SSU rRNA
Rfam family: Bacterial small subunit ribosomal RNA
Source: RNAcentral